This 456-nucleotide ribosomal RNA is filed under the name Salmonella enterica. RNAcentral describes it as "bacterial SSU rRNA". It matches the Rfam family "Bacterial small subunit ribosomal RNA", at positions 1 to 453 of the family's 1533-position model. The record is from RNAcentral. Lineage: Bacteria; Pseudomonadati; Pseudomonadota; Gammaproteobacteria; Enterobacterales; Enterobacteriaceae.
AAAUUGAAGAGUUUGAUCAUGGCUCAGAUUGAACGCUGGCGGCAGGCCUAACACAUGCAAGUCGAACGGUAACAGGAAGCAGCUUGCUGCUUUGCUGACGAGUGGCGGACGGGUGAGUAAUGUCUGGGAAACUGCCUGAUGGAGGGGGAUAACUACUGGAAACGGUGGCUAAUACCGCAUAACGUCGCAAGACCAAAGAGGGGGACCCUCGGGCCUCUUGCCAUCAGAUGUGCCCAGAUGGGAUUAGCUAGUUGGUGAGGUAACGGCUCACCAAGGCGACGAUCCCUAGCUGGUCUGAGAGGAUGACCAGCCACACUGGAACUGAGACACGGUCCAGACUCCUACGGGAGGCAGCAGUGGGGAAUAUUGCACAAUGGGCGCAAGCCUGAUGCAGCCAUGCCGCGUGUAUGAAGAAGGCCUUCGGGUUGUAAAGUACUUUCAGCGGGGAGGAAGGUG